Long non-coding RNA from Dreissena polymorpha, 2052 nucleotides. RefSeq lists it as uncharacterized. NCBI's taxonomy places the organism in Eukaryota, Metazoa, Mollusca, Bivalvia, Myida, Dreissenidae. The transcript has 4 exons. The record is from RefSeq and is a predicted model, not a curated record.
UUCUAAUUGACAGUAUACACUUGUUCACAAAACGUGCUAUUUGUCCAAUUUACCGAGUAUUUCACCCACCGUUUGAACUUGUCAACAAACACACACACUUCCUGUUGGAUUACACGGAGCCGAUCCAUGUUCCUUUGAUGGAACUCUGCAUUACUCGUGGGAUUUUGCACAGACUGUGCAUUAUCCACACCAUGCAAGACAGGCCGGCCCUAUCUACUUUGCGUCGCCAAGGGAACAGGAAAUCAAACGUUCUACCUGAUUGAUGAGGCAGAGCUGCCUGGAAAGGGUGAGGCCUGUAUCAUAAGCUUAGUGCACCUUUAUUUCAAGCACUAUGGUUAUGGAGAGAAGAACGCACAGGCCUUCAUGAAUCCAUCAGCAUCAACACCAUGCUAGCAGGCCACACAAAGUUUGCUCCUGACUGGCAUUUUGGUGUUUGGUUUGUCAAGUGAAGUGGAGGGCGAGUGAUGCAGAGAAAAUUCAAGACAUUACUACAACCGUACGAUCAUCAUAACGGUCGGGUCACAACAUUCCGCAUCUCGUGUCUGACAUGGAGAGUCUGGUCAAAUUCUUAGAGUGGCGGUCACACCUUGAAGCCUAGUUAAGGAACAUAAAAAGCAUAACUAAAUAGCGCAAUUUCUUUGUUUCCAAAGAUGACCACGGUGUUUUGCAUUGUAAGGAGUAUGCUGACUCUACCAAGGAGUGUUUUGAUCUUUUGUAGUGUGCAAUACAUAAGAAUGCCAUGCCUCCACUUAAGACCAUUCCAGUGCUCCCUUUAGCAAGACAGUGGUACUUGUAUGAUCACAUUUCCAAAUUUUUCAGGUCUGAGUCAGCAAAAGAGAAAACAUGUCCCAAACCUCUUAUUCCAAAGUAAUUGUUUAUUUGGAAUGUACAGUUUUGAAAAAUUGCUGACAAUUAUUGCAUUAAUAAAUGUUUUAUAUAGGGAGUUGUGUGCAGUAAAGCAUUAUUACGUGUAUAUUUGCAUGUAUUGUUGAUUUGCCUGCAAUAAAUGGUUAAUUCUGACAAUAUUGCAUUAUGAUGUCAUUAUUUUUUAAUUAACAUGCAUUUCAAGUAUAGCCCAUGUUGUGUGAUUUUUGUUUAUAAAACAAAUAUUUAAAAACCUGGUUCAUGUUUGGAAAUAAUCAAAUAGUGAUACAUUGCAUUGUUUCUAAUUUGUUAGAUUCUUUAAUAACCAUGUACAUUGUUAGAACCUCUUCUUUUUAUGAAUAAGUUAUUCAUUUGGUCCAUACUUAUAUAACUAUGUAAUUUGAUUACAUAUAUAUGAAGAUAAUAGUAUUAAUGUUAUUUUAACUGAAAUAAAGUAAUACACAUUGACUUUGCAAUAUUUUUUUUGCAUUUGUCAUGUAUCAAUGUAAGAACAGGGUACAAUUUGAACGUUACUAAUGUUGAACCAGCCUUUAUUUGAAGGCACAUUUUUAUAUUUUACAAUGUUAAAGACAAAUGGUUACCAUGAUGACCAGUUUUUUGCUUCAAAUUAUUAAAAGCUUUCAGUGGACUGGUUGUAUGGAUUUUGUGUAUUGACAUGUACUUUGUAUGCGAUAACAGUAUUUCACAUUAAGUAUUUCCGGUUUACAUUAAUAAGUUUUGGAAUGUCAAUAAUUAAAACAACUCAGUUCAUUUGUUUAAUUGUAUGCAUUUUCACAUAUAUUAAAAAUUGUGUACACAUUUCCUAUAAUUAUUCAUCAAGAUUUAUUUAACAAAUUUUAAGUAAUACAUGUAUGUUUAAAACAUAAAACAAAAAUUAAUUUGAGGAUAAAAUACCAACAUUCAAAUAAUGGUACCCAUGGAUACCAUUUUAAAUUAAAAAAAGAUGCUUUUAACAAACAAUGUGUUUAUAUUUUAACAUGUGUUUAUAUGAAAACUUGUUUAAACUAUUUUACUUGUGUAUUCUUUUACUUGAAUAAUGCUUAAAAUGAGUAGUAUGUGAGCAAAUAAGUAAGUUUAAGGGAAUGGCGUUUGGAAAGGUGUAAUUGUAAAAAAGCGAACUCGGCCUUUAAAUUAAUACAAUUAUUACCGGUACGUAUUGUUGCCUAA